CACACUUAUCUACAAACAGUCUUCAGAGAGGUGAUCGGAUGGAAGAUAUUAACAUGAUUCUGGAGUCUGCUAGGAGCUGCUCUGACUGGUGGCUACUGAGAUACCAGUGACGGGAAGGUGCUACAUCGUUAACAACAGUGCCUUUCAAAAAUGAUGAACUAUAAUCUACUGAAAACACAAGGACAAACCCUACUGUGAAGCAGUGGAGACUGGAGUCCUGCAUUUGCUGAACUUUCUUUUUAUGUGUUGGAUUCUGAUUUUAUAUUCAUUUCCAUUCAUGUGGACUCUGAAGAGUUAAACUCACCAAGGACACUUGAAGAAGUCACGUCCAGGGAUCACUGUCAUCACAAAUGGAGAAAAGGCCAAUGUCUUUCCAUGCUGCCUCACCAGAAAAGGACUGAGUUGGUACAGACCUUCACUCCAGCUUACUGUCCAUGACCUCGUCACACUCCAGGCCCAGGCUUGAGCUACAUGUUCUAGAAAGCCCCUAACUUCUCUAGGUCUCAAGUCUAAUCUCUGCAUCUGUGCCAGGUUCCCUGAGACUACUCUAAAGCUUGAUGAUUCACUAGGAUUCACAGGACUCAGAAAAGCUUACUUUUCUGAAUUAGAUGUACUGUUCUGAUAUAUUACAGCAAAAGGAUAUGAGUUCAAAUCAGAAUAAAAUAAAAGGUACAUGGGGCAGAGUCCAGGAGAAACCA
This 698-nucleotide long non-coding RNA is filed under the name Homo sapiens (human). RNAcentral's name for it is "non-protein coding lnc-ATP6V0E2-2:3". The record is from RNAcentral. Lineage: Eukaryota; Metazoa; Chordata; Mammalia; Primates; Hominidae.